Molecule: ribosomal RNA, 329 nt
Filed under: uncultured eukaryote
Lineage: Eukaryota
Description: partial 18S ribosomal RNA
Rfam family: Eukaryotic small subunit ribosomal RNA
Source: RNAcentral
CCCUUAGAUGUUCUGGGCCGCACGCGCGCUACACUGAUGCAUUCAACGAGUCUAAAACCUUCUCUGAUAGGGGUGGGUAAUCUUUUGAAUGUGCAUCGUGAUUGGGAUAGAUGAUUGCAAUUUUUCAUCUUCAACGAGGAAUGCCUAGUAAACGCAAGUCAUCAGCUUGCAUUGAUUACGUCCCUGCCCUUUGUACACACCGCCCGUCGCUCCUACCGAUUGAAUGAUCCGAUGAAUAUCAUGGAUUGAGGAUGCAAGCAGGUUCGCCUGUCUUCAUCUUCGAGAAGUGAAGUAAAUCUUAUCAUUUAGAGGAAGGAGAAGUCGUAACA